AAAUUUUUAAUCGCAUGUUCUUUAUACAAUAACAGCAUCCAUACAGCUACCAACAUGAAACCACGUGAAAUUUUAUAUGCAGCCAAAAAUGGACAGGAGAGACCGAUAGAAAUGGAACGCCUUGUUGAACUUCGUGACAAGUUGUACGACGAAGUUCAAGUACAACUAACCAAGACACAAAACUCACAGAAUCUGUACCACAACAGGAAGCGAGAGGAUCCGCCAAAACUAAAGCAAAACGAAUUGGCAUACAACCGCAUCCAAGGAGUGAAGUCGAAAAUUAAGGACCGCUACCAACAAGUGCGAGUACGAUCUAACCGGAAACACACGCACAAAGAUAUCCUAAGUCGAAAAUUGCAUAAAGAAAAACUGCGACGAAUCCGAAAGUAACACCACAGAAUCUCUAAUGUGUUUUUUCAUUUGUUUUCUCUUUUUAGAUGACGUUUAUUUGGAAUAUCCUGAUAACAACCACAUUCCUUACUCAGCUAUCCCAACCACAAUCCAUCCACGUCAUUAAUCUCAAACAAAACCCCGGUCUUUUAACCAUAGAAACUGGCAACAGUUUUAUAAAAAUAGGCAAUCACAGAUUGUUUCAUAUCCUAGAACUGGAUAAUUACGAACCUAUUUUUAGAAAAUUGCUUGCUAAUAUCCAAGGAAUACGGACAUUCUCAAAUUUUACUGAUAUGUUUGAAAUCUUAGAAUCGAAAUAUGGAACCGUUCACAGUUUAUUCAAUAAUCUUCGGCCAAAGCAAAGAAAUAAAAGAGGAUUAUUUAAUUUUCUCGGAACUGGAAUAAAAAGAAUUACAGGAAAUAUGGACCAUAACGACUAUGAACAAAUUUCGAAAAAUAUUUUUGAACUGCAGAUCAAGAACAAAAGACUUAUUAACGAAAACAACGAACAGCUUAAAAUUAAUCUACAACUCCAAAAUAGAAUCAAUUCCAUUAUCAACCGUUUAAAUCAACAACAGAGUGAAAUAACUAAAAACAUUAUAUCAGCUAGAUUUGAAAACGAAACCAACAAAAACUUUAAAUUAUUUAGAGAAAUUUUGAAAAUCAAUUACAACUUAGACAACCUUAAAUCACAUUUAGAAGACAUUUUUGAAUCAAUUCAGUUAGCAAGAACUAACAUUAUUCCCAAACAAAUACUUUCAAUUGAAGAGUUAUGAUUUGUUUCAGAUAUAUUAGAAGAACAAAACAUUAGGACGAACAGUUUAGAUCAAAUUUAUGAAUAUUUAGAAUUGUCAGCAUUUUAUAACCAUUCAAAACUAAUAUUUGUUGUGUCAAUUCCAAAAAUAGAAAAAGCUAUGUACACACAUUUUUUCCUAGAACCUCUUCCAGUAGUAGAUAAAAUUUUAAAACUUCCUGCUAAUGCUGCUUUGCAAAGCGACAACAGAACAUAUUUCAUCAAGAAGGAUUGCCUGCGAAUCGAAAGGACAAGGCUGUGCAAUCUAAGCAGCCUAGAGGACAUAACCGGCGACCUAUGCUACUCAAACCUACUAAGAGGACUAUCAGGAAACUGUACUUUCGUAAAAUUCUAUCAAUCAACGGAGAUCAAAGCGAUCAUGGACAAUUACCUUGUCGCUAAAAACAUCAAUAACACAGAAAUCAAAUCGAAUUGUGGUCUUUCAAAACGAAACUUAUCUGGAACGUAUUUGAUAGAGUUCCACAAUUGCUCUGUCAUAAUAAAUGGCACCAAGUUCUCAAAUGUCGAAGCAAACAAAUCAGAACCGACAUUUGUUAUGCCAUUAGAUGGUUUACAUAUCAAUGAACAGACCCUGGAAAUCCAGAAUAAUAUGGAAGAAAUUCACAUCCAUAAUAGACAUCGGAUUGAAGCAUUAACUAAGGAACACAAAAUUCAGACAUACACAUCUCUAAGUAUGUCGACCGUAUGUUUUCUUCUAAGUAUCGUUGCAGGUCUUUCAUGGAUUUCGAGAAAACGCAGACAGAUAUCUCUUCAUAUUGGAGCAUCCAUGGAGUCUAAAAGCAAACCAGAAAUUAAACCUGAGACCAGUACAAUUCGGGACGAAUCGUCUCCAAAAGGGGGAGUAGUUAAGAUCGAACCCUUACCGAUCCUCAACAAUCAUCCAUACACCAAUCGCUUUAUUGGUGUAUCAUCAUUUUCAUCAUUCCCGGCAACAACAACAACAACGACGACGUCCACCACACCGACGACGAUAGCCCAGCUAGUAGAACGGAAACAGUAGUCUAGCAUCAGCAUUUCAUCACCUGACAACAUAGGUAGCAUUUACGUGGACAACCACCGAACGAGACCACUAAACGAAGCCACAGCCCUUUGGACCCGCGGCAUCAGCAGUUCUUCCACAGCAAUAGCAUAAGCAUUGCAGUAGGUAGUGAGGUUUGAUCGUAAUCAAUAAUUGAAUAAAGGUUCAGUUCGUUUAAGGCAGUAGAUCGAAUAAGUUCUUUUUUUAAAACUUAGUCUGGGUGACACCCUUCUUCACUGGCGCAGUCGGCAGUUCUAGCGUGGAGUAGUUAAAGUGUAGUGAAAAGUGUUCUUAUCCGAAAUCAUCGGCGGCUUACCGAAGAGCAAAGGAGGAAACACCUAAACUACAGAUUCUAGUGCACCGGCGGUUCACCGAGACACCAAAAUCAUCUUUAACGAAGCUUCACACCUGCUAGAAGACAUCGAACCAUCCGAGGCAAUAUCGGACAAUUUAACCAUCCGAGGGAACAUCGGAUAAAACCAUGACGUUUAUUUGGAAUAUCCUGAUAACAACCACAUUCCUUACUCAGCUAUCCCAACCACAAUCCAUCCACGUCAUUAAUCUCAAACAAAACCCCGGUCUUUUAACCAUAGAAACUGGCAACAGUUUUAUAAAAAUAGGCAAUCACAGAUUGUUUCAUAUCCUAGAACUGGAUAAUUACGAACCUAUUUUUAGAAAAUUGCUUGCUAAUAUCCAAGGAAUACGGACAUUCUCAAAUUUUACUGAUAUGUUUGAAAUCUUAGAAUCGAAAUAUGGAACCGUUCACAGUUUAUUCAAUAAUCUUCGGCCAAAGCAAAGAAAUAAAAGAGGAUUAUUUAAUUUUCUCGGAACUGGAAUAAAAAGAAUUACAGGAAAUAUGGACCAUAACGACUAUGAACAAAUUUCGAAAAAUAUUUUUGAACUGCAGAUCAAGAACAAAAGACUUAUUAACGAAAACAACGAACAGCUUAAAAUUAAUCUACAACUCCAAAAUAGAAUCAAUUCCAUUAUCAACCGUUUAAAUCAACAACAGAGUGAAAUAACUAAAAACAUUAUAUCAGCUAGAUUUGAAAACGAAACCAACAAAAACUUUAAAUUAUUUAGAGAAAUUUUGAAAAUCAAUUACAACUUAGACAACCUUAAAUCACAUUUAGAAGACAUUUUUGAAUCAAUUCAGUUAGCAAGAACUAACAUUAUUCCCAAACAAAUACUUUCAAUUGAAGAGUUAUGAUUUGUUUCAGAUAUAUUAGAAGAACAAAACAUUAGGACGAACAGUUUAGAUCAAAUUUAUGAAUAUUUAGAAUUGUCAGCAUUUUAUAACCAUUCAAAACUAAUAUUUGUUGUGUCAAUUCCAAAAAUAGAAAAAGCUAUGUACACACAUUUUUUCCUAGAACCUCUUCCAGUAGUAGAUAAAAUUUUAAAACUUCCUGCUAAUGCUGCUUUGCAAAGCGACAACAGAACAUAUUUCAUCAAGAAGGAUUGCCUGCGAAUCGAAAGGACAAGGCUGUGCAAUCUAAGCAGCCUAGAGGACAUAACCGGCGACCUAUGCUACUCAAACCUACUAAGAGGACUAUCAGGAAACUGUACUUUCGUAAAAUUCUAUCAAUCAACGGAGAUCAAAGCGAUCAUGGACAAUUACCUUGUCGCUAAAAACAUCAAUAACACAGAAAUCAAAUCGAAUUGUGGUCUUUCAAAACGAAACUUAUCUGGAACGUAUUUGAUAGAGUUCCACAAUUGCUCUGUCAUAAUAAAUGGCACCAAGUUCUCAAAUGUCGAAGCAAACAAAUCAGAACCGACAUUUGUUAUGCCAUUAGAUGGUUUACAUAUCAAUGAACAGACCCUGGAAAUCCAGAAUAAUAUGGAAGAAAUUCACAUCCAUAAUAGACAUCGGAUUGAAGCAUUAA
Aedes aegypti (yellow fever mosquito) is the source of this 4105-nucleotide long non-coding RNA. RefSeq lists it as uncharacterized. The record is from RefSeq and is a predicted model, not a curated record. Lineage: Eukaryota; Metazoa; Arthropoda; Insecta; Diptera; Culicidae. The transcript is spliced from 2 exons.